GGUUCAAUGGUCUAAUGGUUAUGAUUUCUGUCUCACAUAUACUUAGUGAGUCCAGGUUGUGCACAGAAGGUUCCCAGUUCGAUCCUGGGUUGAACCA
This is a non-coding RNA of Stereum hirsutum FP-91666 SS1, 97 nucleotides long. NCBI's taxonomy places the organism in Eukaryota, Fungi, Basidiomycota, Agaricomycetes, Russulales, Stereaceae. The record is from the annotation of a RefSeq genome assembly.